Molecule: long non-coding RNA, 37017 nt
Filed under: Citrus maxima (pomelo)
Lineage: Eukaryota; Viridiplantae; Streptophyta; Magnoliopsida; Sapindales; Rutaceae
Description: long non-coding RNA (CMAX_LNC000737)
Source: RNAcentral
CUCUGCAAAUUCUCUUGGGACUUGGUUCCAAUUCCUCUUCAUCCGAAGUUCCACUCGAAUCAAAUUCACUUGCAGCAGUUCCACUCGCGCUUGGCAAAUCAUCCAAUUUCCAAACUUCGGUAGCAAAAUUGAGAGUAAAAGUGUUGGCUUUGGUCUCGCUGGGAUUUGCAUAUACUGGACAUACUCCGUAACGUUUUACCUUGUGACCCUUUUGGUUUUGGUAACAAUUAUUGAAGAACUUAAGUGAGACAGUUGUAUGAUGGUAACCAUCAGGAAAGCCAACAUUCAAGCAAGGUUUAAAACCAAGUAUGACAUGAUCUGAAUCAAGGGAGUAUUUAUUUCUAACACUUGUGGUUGCGGGCCCACUGAAACCUAGAUCAACAUGUUUGGUUUCAGAGAGAGUCUUUAUUUCUAAGUCGAGUUGAGAGCGGCCGAAAACAUUGCAGCAAUAACAAGAACCAACUUUCUUAAAAUUAAGAACCGCACAAAAAGCAAACCCGAUUAAGUUUCUGCAAGAAGAGUGCGGUGGCAGUUGAAUACCUAUCGAAGAUCCUGAACUUUGAUUGUUGAACCAGUCAGGAAUUUCGCUCCCAGGUAAAACAAUUAGGGAUGUCCUGAGUUCAGAAAGUUUCUGUGAAAUGACAUUUAAAAAAAGAAAAUUGUAAAAUGAAAACCAUGAUUUCAGAUAUAACAAAGAGGGACAGAGUAAACAAGAGAGGGAACUUGAUGCGUUCUAAAUGUUCCAUUUUCUCCAAGAUUUCUGGGAAACGCUCAAGGUUCAAGCAGCCAUGAAGAAAAAGCUCAACCAAAGAUUUCAAUUUACAAAACCUAGUUGAAAUCCUCUUCAGCCGUUCGCAAUCCCUCAAAUCCAACUUUUCAAGAUCAGUUAGGCACUCUAUUGAUGAUGGAACUUCUUCUAUUGCAGACUGGCUUAAGUAUAGCCGUGUAAUUUUCCCAGAAAUCUGUGGAAACUCUACGAGAUUAACACAAUAGGAGAAAUUAAUAGUUACUGGACAAACAAAAUGAAGAUUGCUUGGAAAAGACCUAAGACUUUUGCAGCCCACAAAAUCCAACCUACUGAGAUACUUGAAAUUCUGGAUAGAUGAGGGAACACAAGCCAUUUCUCCUUCCCAAAUUUGCUCAACUUUACUAAAACGCAAAUUCAGUCCAACAAGGUUCUUUGGCUUGAAAUUUGAUGGCAGUGUCCUUAAUGGAUAUGUGUCCCAAUGAAGAUAUCUCAAUUUUUUAGGAAGAUAAUCUAGGCCAUUUGGAAGCUGCACUUUAGAGUACGAAAGUUGCUCUUCAAUGCUCAUACUUAGAAGCUUUUCAAUCUCAUACUUAGGUACAUAAAAUUUGAGCAAUCUCAGAUUAGACAUAUUUGUGAAGGCUCCGGGGUCUAAAUUGAUGCCUUUUAUUUUGGACAAAUCCAAAAAUAUGCCUUCAAUUGCAUCGGUCCCCUUAUUAAAAAAAAAAAAAAAACAAAGAAUGGGUAAGCCUAAAACAGAAAAGAAACAUUCGUAAACUUUAUUAACUAAGAGCUCCUAAAACAAAACAAAUUCUACGAUCUUUGAUCUUAUUUUUUUAAUAUAUUAAAUAUCUAUAUGCGAGAAAAGAAAAUUUUGGGAACCAUUGCAAAAUUAAACUAACCGAAAAAAAAAAUCAAAAUUUCUCUAAUUUACAAACCUGUUAUCUUACUAUCUAGAAGUUGAGAAGACAGGGCCUAUUUGAUUGGUAUAAGAUUUCGAUUUUUUUUUUAGUCCAUAGAAUCCAAAAUGUUAGUUCAAAAUUAGGGAAAAAAAUGAAAGUUAUUUUUUUUCCACUAGUUGUAAUUGUAUCCAAGUCAAAUUGAGAUAUGACCCUUUUCGAAAGGAUUUAAUCAUCUUAUAGCCUCCUUAAAGGAGUGAUUGGAGGCCUAACUAGGUAGGCCAAUCAGUCCAUUUUAUUAGCGACUAUUGCUUAAAAACAUUUAUACUCUAAAACACACUUACUUUUUUGAAAAAAAAAUAUAAUUAUAUUGAAGUAGAACCAGGUGGGCCAAUCCUCAUGGCACUCACUUUGUUCUGACACUCUUCACUAAAUUUGAAAAAAAAUAAAAUUAUACUCUUCACACUCUUAUUCAACAUUCCAAAAUUGAUAAAAUCUGGAGUUUUCAUUAAAAAUUUAAAAUUUGAAGACUUGUUCUCUUGACACCCUCAGUCAUUAAUUUUACCUAAUUAUGGUUUUUAUGAUUUUGGUUGUUUUGUUCAUAAAAAUGAUUUUACUAAAGGAUGUUCUGGUAAUAAUAAAAUUUAUAAAAAAAAACAUGGUUGUGCUGGUAUGAUUGGAAAAAUAUGAGUGCAUAACUCCAAACAAAUAAAAGAUAUAUAAAAAAAAAUGGAGGAUUCUUACCAUAUUAUGCUUUAGUACGCGGCGGAUUUCCUUAGGAUCCCACAACCUCUUGCGUUUGCCUGGCUCUUUCUCAGAUUCUUGGCGUCGCCCCAUUUCUUGCAAUAUAUCAUGCAUUUGCAAGCGGUUAUAUGACACUGUUAUGAGUGACUUAUCAACAAGGACAUCCAGUCCAACAGACUCAGAAUCAUCAAGAAUCCUUGCCACAAAAUCUUUAUCCUCUCCCUCAAAGAAACACGCAAUAUCUAGAAAUAUGCUCUGCACCCUGGGCGUUAAUUCAUCAAAACUAAUCUUUAAUUUCUUAUAAAUAGCAUGAAUAUCAGAUUCACAAAUCCGAUUUAAGUCGUGCAAUACUUUUCCCCAAUGGCUUUUCCCCUUGAGGGAGGAACCCAACACUUUAAGAACUAAUGGAUUGCCAUCAGCAUACUUUACAACUCUCCGUGAGUCAGGUUUGAAAUCUUCAGGACAAUGCUUUUCUUUAAAAGCGAAGUUACAAAAAUGCUCGAAAGCCUCAUGAAAAUCCAUUCCAUUAACCCUAUAUAUUUUCUUCUCCUCCACUCCAAAUUUUUCGAGGACUCCUUUAUCCCUAGUGGUUACAACAAUUCUACUUCCUGGAACAAAUUGAUCAAGCUCUCCAAUCAGACCCUCUAAUUGUCCAACUUCAUUCACAUCAUCGAGUACUAUCAACACCUUCAUACGCCGGACCCUCUCUUUAGUAAAAUGUGGAAUAUUGGCACCAGCUACUUCAAGUUUUUCGCUUAAUAUUGUUGAAAGCAUUUCCUUUUGUAGGUCUUCUAGGCCACCCUCUGUUUCUGAUUUUCUCCUAACAUUUUUUGCAAAGUAUUUACCAUCAAACUCACCAGAGAAUUGAUUGAAAAUAGCUUCAGCAAGGGUGGUUUUGCCGAUACCACCCAUGCCCCAAAUUCCAACAAUUUGGACAGUAUCCGACAAAUCCAUACACAAAAAUGGUUUAAUCUGCUCAAUUCGUGAAUUUAAUCCAACUAGGCCGUUGGAUGAGUCCGUUGAGACUGUUAUUUUUUCCAACUUCUUCAAAACAUCUUCGACAAUUUUGUUUACAAGUUCCGCAUCGUGCCUAAUAUAAAGGUGCAAAGAUGCAAAAACAUUGAGUCAAAUCGGGCCAACACAGAAACAGAGAUAAGAUGAAUUAGGAAAGAGAGUUACCUGAAUUUCGUGGAUUCGUGGCCAGCAAGACCGGAUGUUUCUCUCAGUGCAUCCCUCCACCUCUGAACCAUUUCUGGCUUCUCUUUGAACUGUUGUUCGAGCUUACCAAAGCCGACCCCAAAAAUCCCAGUUUGAUGCCGCACAUCGGACGGACUUACGCCAUAGAAAACCGGAAUAAUGAUUUGGCCGUUUGUGUGCUUGCAUUCAAGAAUCUCGACAAGUUCAUACAGGCACCAUUUUGAAGAAGCGUAGUCCGUUGAGAAAAUGACCACCGAAAUUUUUGAACCUUGGAUUGCGUUCAAAAGGGCAGGUGAAAUCUCAUCUCCGCGCCUAAGCUCUUCAUCAUCAAUAAAUGUUCUGAUUUUCUUUCUUUUAGACAAAGCAUCAUAGAGAUGGCAAGUAAAGAUCGCACGAGUGUCCUCCCCUCUAAAAUUGAGGAAGACUUCAUAAAUGCAAGGAGAAGAAGCCAUGAAGGAAAUAUUAGAAAUUUGGUGACAGAAACAGAGAAUUAAUCUUGAGAGCUGAGAGAGGAGAUGUAAGAAUGAACAUGUGUGAAUAUUCUUGCGAGUACAUAGUAAAUAAUUGAAUGGCUCGAGCUUUCUUAGUUUCCUGGAAAUUUCCUGGAGCUUUCGUAUACAUGAUUUGUCAAGUCAAGAAACAUAGUCAUGAUAAUGGGGCAGACCAGGAAGAAAAGGAAAUUGGAAUUUUGUACAAUUUCUCCAGCGAGGAACUUUCACUGUCAUUACCUCACCGUUACAGUUUGGAUUAGGGUAAUUUUUACCCCGCACCCAAAUGUUUUGACAUACAGCACAACGCACCCAAUUCUUUUGCCCAUGAGCACCGCGCACCCAUUUCCGUUUAUUUUUCAGUUAACUGUAACAGAUCAGGGUAAAAUUGGAAUAACGCAUCAAAAUUUAAAAAUAAAAAAAUAGGUAAACUCGAUGUUUGCGCCAAAAUAAUUUCACAUCACUGUGCUUAUGUUCACUGCGUUUGCGUGUGAGACCAAGAAGCAUGGCCACACCUCCAUUGAUGCCAAAAUCGAGGAGGUGGGUGAAGAAGAAUUGGCGCCAAAAUCAUUCACAUAUGAUGUGCAAGGAAAUUAUUUCAGCCUUUAAAUACUUUUUUAUUACAGCAGCAUCAGCUAUUGCUCUGUUUCGAAGAUCUGCUCAAUUUCUAAGACAAUAGUUGGUUUGAGAGUUUAAGGGAAGUGAAUCCACUGAGCGUGCUAUUGAAGAAGUGGAGGUCAGUUUCAUUUCUUGCUCAAUUGUUUUAAUUUAUUCCAUUUUGUUUGCAUGUCAAUUAUUUACACAUUUUUAGCUGGAUUUUGCUUAUCUAUAAAACUUGAAUCAUUGUUAAUCAAAUCAGCUAUAAUUUACGCCUCAAUGUGGUUUGUAAGUUUAAGUUAUGUUGGAUUAUACCUGAAUAAUGUGGUGUUUGCGUUAUUGAUUUCAAUUUCUAUUGAUGAUUUUGAGUAUACAUAUUAGUGGAUGAAAGUUUUUAAUUAGGAUGAUUGGUCACGCAUAUAUGUCAUAGCAACUGUGUUUUUUUGGGUUAUGGUUGUACUGUAGAUCAGUAGUAGUAGUGAUUUGGAUAUAAACGCUAGUGCUUUUAUUGUAAAUGAUAGUGAUGAAGAUCCAGUGUUACAGAAUUUGAUGUAAAAGUUAUUGGUUUUUGGCUAAAUAUCUUAGAUAAAUAUGAUGCUCAUGCAAUCAAAUCCAAUGCUUAUGCAAUUUACACCAUGUUUAUGAUAAGUAAUUAAAAAAAUAAAUGACUAUUCCAGGUGAAAAUGGAUGAUGAUGAUAUUACAACUGUUCUUUGUACAUUCAAGGGCAAGACAUAUAAUGUUGGUGUAAUUGAUCCAGAUAAGUUUAGUAGAGUUUCUGUAAUUAACAAGGUUUUAGUUAGAGUCUAUGGAAGAAAGAUGAGGCCUGAUGAGAAGUUUACACUAAGUGUUUGGGUACCAUGGGUCUAUAAGGAAGUAGAGAUUAUGUCUGAUCAUGACUUAAUAUUCCAGCUGAGAGAGCAUAAUAAGAUGUUGUUCUACUGCAUGCAAUUGUAUAUUGAAGAAAUCCAUGUACCUCAUGAGUUUGUACCUAGAAGGGCUUUGUUUCAGCACUCAGCAGAAGAAAGCUUACAAGGGUAUGCUGAAACAAACUUUCCAGCCACUACUGACCUGCACAAACCUUAUACACAUGCUACAUCCACCAACACAAAUCCUUAUGAAAAUGACAGUAAUGACCAUUCGAACCAUGAACCCCCUGUCAAGAACUCCAGCAGCAUAAUGAUGCAUAAUGUUGCACUUGAUAGCAUCCAAUCACAGACCAAACCAGAUACCAACCCUGACCUAUAUCAAGACUUUUUGGAUACCUAUUUCAGAUCAUCACCACAACAGAAAACACCAUCAGCUGCCCAAACUAAUGCCGAAAAUAGUGAUAGUGAUAACACAUCUUCAUUUGGUACAAAUAAGACUCCUACUGAGCAGCUUCAACAAAACUUUGCCAUCUCUUCUGAGUUGUCCCCUUUAUUGCAGCAACAUGGACAUCAUGCAUCCCAAAAUGAACCUAUACCUUUUCACCAACCUGAGUUCUCAUCUCAACCAAUAACUCAAAACCCUCAGUCACAAGUUGUACAAGCAGAAAACUUCCAGCAACCAGAAGCCACUACACCAGCACUAGUAGAUUAUAACUCAGAUGAUAGCCAUUAUAGUGUAACUGAUAGUGAGGAAGAUCCAGAUCAUCCAUUAGGUGCUCCAAACAUUAAUAAUACUCCUAGGAAACCUUCUGUUAAUGUUGACUUAGGCUCUAUGCCUUCUGAUGAUAGUGAUGAAGAUUGUAUGCUAUCUGAUUGUGAGAGUGAUGACAAUGAGUUUGGGGAAGAAUCUGAUGAAGAGAUUGAUCAAGUGCUGGUCAGAAUGGAUGCUGUUAUGAGAGAGAACAUGUACAUUCCUAGUGAUACACCUGUUCAAUUCUUUAUUGGGCAGUGUUUUAGGAACUUCAGGCAGCUGGCAUGGGCAAUAAGGACUUAUGCUGUGGAAAACAAGUUCAAGGUUUAUAAGCACAAGUUUGAAAAAUCCAGAGUAACUGUUGGAUGUAAUUAUUUCAGGUGCCCAUGGUUUUUACAUGUUGCAAAAACUAGAUUUGGACAAACCUUUAUUGUUAGGAGGCUUCACAACGUACAUACAUGUCAGAGAGACUUAAAGAAUCCUGAAUGCACUGCAGAGUUCAUUGUUGCCAAGUUUGCUGCAACUAUAAUUGAGCAUCCAGAUACAAAGGUUGGGUGGAUUCAAAGUGAACUUAGAAGGAUGUAUGGAGCUAAGAUACACAAGUAUAAAAUUUAUAGAGCAAAGAAGAAGGUUUUACAGAGACAAUGAGCUGAUUAUGAGUCUAGUUACAUGUUGAUCAGAAAUUAUGCUCAGGCCAUACUUACUAAGAUGCCACAGGCCUUGGCAUUGGUUAAGGUUUUCAGGAUGCAUGGUCAACAACCUCAAACUCACUUUGACAGCACUGUUAUAUCUUUCCAUGCCCUCAGAGAUGGCUUCAACCAAGGUUGUAGACCCUUCAUUGGUAUUGAUGGAUGCCAUUUGAAGGGUCCAUAUAAGGGUGUUCUUUUAUCAGCAGUUGCUAUUGAUGCCAACAAUGGAAUCUUCCCACUUGCAUUUUGUGUAUGUAGUGUCGAGAGUACAACCAGCUGGACAUGGUUUCUAAGCCACUUUAGGGAAUUUUUACAAGAUACAAGACAACUGACCUUUAUGUGUGAUAGGCAGAAAGGAAUUCAGAAUGCUCUUGCCUUAGAGUUUCCUAAUGCACAUGUUAGAUUCUGUGCUAGACACAUCUUAGCAAAUAUUAAGUUAAAACAUCCUCAAUCUGACUUUAAAGCAUAUUUCUGGGCAGCAGCAAGAGCAUCAAACAGAAGGGCAUUUGAUGAUGCUAUGCAAAACAUAAGAGCAGCACAUGAGGGUGUAUAUGAGACUCUUAGGAGGAUACCACCAAAUUUCUGGUCAAGGCAUGCCUUUGACAAUAAUUGCAAGUCUGAUCAUUGCACUAACAACGUAACUGAAUCUUUUAAUGCAUGGAUUGGGAUUCAAAGAAAGUUGCCAAUAAUCUCAAUGCUGGAGUGGAUUAGGAAGAAGCUGAUGAAAAGAAUGAUUGGAAGAAGAAAUAAGGCAGAGUCUUGGGACAGUGAUAUACCAAGAAGAAUUUAUGCACAAAUGAUGAAGAAUUUACAGAUUGGCAGUGCAAACCCUAUCUGUAGAGCUAGUAAAUGGCUUUAUGAAGUGGAUGAAAAUACCAAGACUUAUAUCGUUGAUCUUGAACACCAUAUGUGUGACUGCGGACAAUGGCAAGUUAGUGGGAUUCCAUGUGUACAUGCAAUGCCUUGUAUUGUGAAUAGUCAAAAAGAUCAAGCUCAGUUCAUUAGCCAAUGGUUGAAGAAAGAUACUUACCUAAGGUGUUAUUCUGGAUUGAUUAAACCAAUUCCAGAUAGAACGUCAUGGGUAGAUGCUGGUGGUGAUGAAAUACUGCCCCCUUUAGUGAGAAGACCACCUGGACGACCUAAGAUGACAAGAAGAAGAGAAGCUGAUGAGGUACCAGCACAUAAUAAACGAUACAAGAUGCAAUGCACUAUUUGCAAGGGAUUUGGACACAACAGAAGGGGUUGUCCUGUUAACCCUCAUAAUGCUCACAAGACAACAAGACAAUAUAAGGUGAGUGUGUAUGCUUGUAAGAGAAUAUUCAAUUAUUUUUUGAACCAUGUUCCUCCCAUGUGAUGACAGCUAAUGUGCCUUGUUUGUUUGUGCUUUUUUAUAGAAUAACCUGAAGAAGCACGUGACAAGGACAAAUGGGGAGCAAAGUGAAGGUAUAAGAGUAAUUUACUAAGUUAUAUUACUAUAUUACUUUACAGCUGUAUUAGAUAAUUAUAUAGUUGUGUAUCACCAAACUAUAUUAAAUUAACUUAUUUAUUUAACGUUGCUUUAUUGGUAAUUUAUAAGGCCAAGUUCACGGAAUUACCUCAACUAUUUUGGAAAGCCAAGACAAUGACAUGGUCCAAGUAACUGUCUCAGGCCAAAACAUAACAAAGAACCAGCAGACUGCAUCUAACAAACGCAAGAUUGGCAAUCAAGCAGGGCCAUCAAAAGCAAAUGAAGUCAUUGGCAAGAGCAUGAAUGGGGUCAUAUCUGUAGCUCCAUGGGUAGGUGAACAGGGAAGAAAAGUAAUGUCAGCCGCUGGAUUAACCUUCAGCAAAGAGGAUGAAGUCGGCAACUAUACUGAAAUGAAGCAUUUGGACAAAGGGAAGGCACCAGCCUUCCCUUCGUAAAGGGUAAAACCAUAGUUUUCUAUUGAUAUAAAUUAAUAUUGGUUUUGGAAAUGAUAUUUAUAAUUUGUAACUUGUUUUGUAGUGAUUCUUUGGCUAUGAUGGAGACAUUGGCAGCAAACUUAUUAACAAACAGUGGAGGCAACAUUAUCAUUUUUUGACACCUUCCACAAUGCCACAUCAACCCACCAGGCACAAGGUUAAGGUUAUCUGGAUGCUGAUUUCAUUAGGAUCAAGUGGCCAAGUAAUGACCAGGCAUGUCAUUGUUUUCUUUUUCUUUUUUAUUUUGGAGCUGAAAUUGGUGGAAGUUGUUGGACAUUAAGCUUAAGCAUUAUAGAGCUGGAAGCUGUGAUGACCUACUAUAAGUAUGAUUGGAAGGGUUUAUGGCAUUUUGAAAGUUUUUGGGAUUAAGAUACAUAUAGGACUGAUAUCAACCAAACCAACACUUUUUUUUUUUGUUUUUUGGUCACAUGUAUGUAAACACCAGAUUGGAUGUGACUAACAUUGUAAGUUGCUGCCAAUAUGCAUUUAUAGAUAAAAUAACUUAUUGCUAUUAUUGAUAUCAUAUUUGAUUAAAUGGUAUAUGUCAAGAAACGAAUGCAUUUUAUUGAUCAUAAGAUUUCAUUUUACACAUUGUUCUAGCAUUCCUUACAGUACAAUACAAGCAAUACAAGUAUAGUUAUCACUAUAAUCGUGAUUUGAUACUUCUUAUUUUUAUGAAGUAAACCUUCAAUAUUGAUGAACCUGUUGUGGAAGUCCUCAAUGUUAAAUUGUUGAAUCUCACUUGCCCUGUCUGCAGCUUCUUCUUCAAACCUUUGUAACGCUGCUUCAAUUUCUAUAGCCUCACCUGUAGAUGGUUUCCACCAUCUAAAGAAACCACAAGAUGGGUCAUUAGGGCAUGUGUAAUAUAGUUUGUUGGGGUUUGUUUUUGAUUCUGACACUUUGAUUUCUGCCCUUCUUCGACAGUAGCAUACUGUGUUAUAGAACUUGAUGAUGCCCCCAUUGAUUUUAGGUAAAUCCCUUCUUCUGUUAUAAGUUGAUGAACUUGAUGCAUUCCUUGAAGUGGACAUUUUCUUCAAAUUUCCAAUGUCGUGUCUGUUAUAUUCUUUUUGAAAUACAGCACAACGUAUCUGAACUUCAAGUUGUUGUGCUUGUUUUGUGUGUGAAUGAAGCUGCUGUUGAAGUUGUAUUGUUUCGGUGGGUAAAACCAAAUGUUGUACUACUGUAAGUUGUUGCUGAGUAAAAAAAAUGGUGGAGUUUCCAGGUGAGUCAAUGAAAAUCACUGAGGUGUGAAGAGGGUAGGAAUUUAUAUGUGUUAAACAUCACAGCUUGUGGUGAUGCAUCAGCUCAAAUUUAUCAAUUUCUUUUACUGUUCUUGUAACCAUAUAGCCGUUAUUACUGUUGCUCAGAUUUUAUAGCCGUUGGAUUUUUGAUGCGCAUGGUAAUAAACCAAUAUGCUAAGGGCAAUAUAGUCAAUAUAAUUUAACAGUUAUAGUUGGUCUUCGUGUGUAAAUACACCUUUAAAUAAUGGCCAGUGGUAAAUUCCUUAGUUCAAUGACUCACCUGGAUGCAUUUGAAUUCAACGCAAGGGUAUAUUUGUCAUUUAAUCAAAAUAUAGACUGAUCCGUUACAAUUAACUAAAAAAUAAACAGAAAUGGGUGCGCGGUGCUCAUAGGCAAAAGAAUUGGGUGCGUUGUGCUGUAUGUCAAAACAUUUGGGUGCGGGGUAAAAAUUACCCUUUGGAUUAUGAUUUGAGGGUGCAAGUAUUUACCUAGAGUUUACCUCCGCACUAAAUUCUUAAGUUUUGAAAAUUAUGAGACCUUUAUAUUGGGAGAUAUUGUAAUCGAAUCAAAACUUAAAUUUUUUAUAAUGUUAAUAUUUAAUCUUUUAAAAAACAAUAACCUCGCCGUUACAGUUUGGAUUAAGAUUUGAGUAAGUAUUUACCUAAAUUUUACCUCCGUCUGUAAAUUCUUAAGUUUUGAAAAUUAUGAGACCUUUAUAAUCGAAUCAAAAUUUUGAAUUUCAAUAUUAUUAUUCUUUAAAAAAAAUUUUGAGAUAACAGAGUGAUUGAUAAUAUAGGAGAACUUGUCUAGGCAAGCACAUGUAUACACAGAAACGUGAUGGAUUCAAAAAGAAAUUAAAGUGAUAAUGCGAAAUCGCUUGGUGGCCCAGUAAAAUUACGACUGAAUUUUUUUUUUUUUUUUUACAAAAUUCAAGCUCAUAAAUGACAAAUUUCAUUUCCCUUUCACACGUCAUUAACUUUUGUAACAUGGUGUGUGCAUCGUCAAGUGAGGCAAAAGGGUUUCAAUUACAGUUGGAAAACAUGAACAAGAAUGCAUAAUGAAUAAUUCCUUCGAUAAACCGAAAAUUAAGCACAGAAUAAUCCUAAAAUUUAAACUCUAAUAUCUUAUAAUGUAUUGAUUAAAAAUAAUCCUAAGAGCUCCCAAUUGAAACUUUCAUAAGUAUUUUAAUUGUUUUGGAUAAACAAAUUGCACUAGGAUAAAAAUUUGGCAAAUUCAGAGGAUAAUGGAAAAUAGUUAUGCUUCAAUAGGCCAAAGAUUAGAGAACAAAUAAGAAUUAUUUAUUGAUAUACAAAAGAGAAACACUCCAAAAUUUCAAGCAAAAAUAGUUUCAUAUAUCAUUUCGAUUUUGAAAGGGAUGAGAUUUUGAACUUCAAUAGUUUCCUCUAAAAUUAAAAGGUAGCAAUUAAGCUAAAAAGAGCAAUGAAGACUUAUUGGUACCUUAUUAAAGGUAAACAUUAUGGAACUUUCAAUGUCAUUAUCUCACUGUUCAAUUUUUAUUGAGAUUUGUGUAAGCAUUUACCUAAAUCUUACCUCCGCCUUUAAAUUCAUAAGUUUUGAUUAAUUAUGAGACCUUAUAUUGGGAGAUAUUAUAAUCAAACUAAAACUUAAAAUUUCAAUAUCAUUAUUCUUUAAAAAGAAAUUGAGAUAUCAGAGUAAUAUCACAUAGAAAAACUUGCCCACGGACGGUAAGCCAAAAGUCUAGUCAACCACACGCAUAAAGCUAACUAGAACAAGAGAACAGAGAAACGCGUGGGUCCCUAAAAGAAAAGGCAAGCACAUAAAUAACUUUCAAAAUGCCCAAGCAAAUACCGAUGAAAAUCACUGUUUAAGAAUAAUUUAUUAUGUGGUUGAAGCUUUCUUUUUAUCAAUCUUCUUUCUACCCAUUAAUUUUCCCACGACUUUCCCGUUUCAUUUCUUGAAUCUCCAUGGAUUAACUUUCAAUAAACCAUAAAAUAAACUAAGGAAUCAUUUUCUCGAAUACAGCUAUGAUUUUAAUAAAUGGGCGGACCAUCUAGAAUAGUAUAUAUAAUUCUGUUUAAUUAAUAAGUUGAAAAAACCAUCAAGAGAAAUUCUAAUAUUAUGAGCUUGACACGAAUUCUUCACUAAUUCCAAAACAAGGAGCUGUUUUAUAAGAACUGUGGUUGGAUUAUUAAGUUUUACAAUUUGAAUAUAAAUAAGAAAAUAAAAUCAGUCGCGUUGAUGUUUUCGAUACAUUUCGCUGCUAACUUUUUUUUUUUUUUUAUUACAUGAGACUAUUGCUCAAAUUACAACUCAUAUUACAUGAGAAUAUAACUGAUAUUUACAAAUCAGACUAUAACUGGGACCAAUAUACAUCAAUACUAAUGGAGCGCUGCCCAGAUUUUAACCCUCUCAAAUAUUCAAGGGAUGUCUACACCUCACACUUGGGUAAGGAAACAGACUGUCUUCACUUAAAUUUACUUGAGGAAUGAAGACCCCCACAAUACAUUGUGGGGGUUCACCACUCGACCAAAGGCCGAGUGGCUCAUUUCGCUGCUAACUUAAUUAAUUACUUUACUUCAACUUUAUUUCCUUAGGGGCACUUUAUGGUGGGUCCAAGAUGGGACCUACAAUAAUCAAUCCUAAAAUUUAGUAUGGUUACCAAAUAGCUAGUAGCUAGUGUUAUUUUGUGUUUGGUGGAAGAGAUUGAAUAUUUAGUUUUAACUUAACCAUUCAACUAAUUAGAAAAUAAAUAAAAUUAAAUGAAAUGUUUAGAUAUCAAUUUAAAUAUUAAUAUCGGGGAUAUAAAUUAGUUAUAAUAUAGUUCAUUACAUAAAAUUGAUUAAAUUAAUAAUUACCCGUGAACAUAGAUGUAUAUGCUUUCCAAUUUCCAAAGUGCUCAAAGCACUUUUCUCACCAAACUUUCCUCUGAAUUUCCCGUAGCUGACUCCUUUGUUUGCGUUUUGUGAAAUUUCUAGGAACUUUUUUCGAUUUAGAAUAUUGUACAUUUUUCUUUUCAGCUGAGAUUAAUUUAACUUAUAGAAAAUCUUAUCCUUUUUUAAUAUUAUUUAAAUAAAAUUUGUCUAUCUUUUAUUUUAUUAGUCUACUUUUUACCCAUUAAUUAAGACUUUUCAAUUUCUUUUUUACCUGAGGUUUUCAGUGACUAUCUUUCAAUAAACCAUAAAAAUUACUUAGUCAUUUAUCGAACAAUUAGAUGACCAUAUUUCAAAAUAUCAACUAGAAGUUGUCCUGAAAUAUUUAAUUAAUAGUUGAAGAAUUGUGAUUAGUGUGGGCAUCUACAUAAAAAUUAUAUUAAAACACCGCUAAAAGAUAAAAAUAAAAUAAAAUAGUACAAACAUACACCCAUAGGUUAAAACAAAGAAAAAACACGAACCAAUACACUAAAAUGUUUUAGCUGUAGUUAGUUUUCAGUUUCAUUACUUAAGUCCCACGUGCAUGUCACGUGACUGAGGUCAAAAAAUGAUUGUCACAUUAAAGUUCAAAAUACGGAGCAGGGUAAUUAAGGAGUGGAGCUAUUGGCACCCCUCCAUUAUUCUUACAAAACUCCACUUUAAAUCAAAAUAUAAUUAAGAAUAAUUGAAAAUUAAACACUUAUAGAUUUCUUUACAACAUGUUGAGUGAUAAAAAAGCACCAGUCGGGCAUGUCCCCAUUUCUUACCCGGUGCCGAAUCUCCACGGUCGAAUGGUAUGAGUAGACUCUUGGUGAUGUCUUCUAUGUGGAGCACGUAACAACAGACCAGGAACUAGUACCAACCAAAAACGAGUACUGAUCGAAACAAGCAUGACCAGAAACGCAUACCGACCAGAGACUUGUGGGUCCGUAAAAGAAAAGGCAAGCACACAAAUGAAAAAGCCAUUACAUUUCUAUUUUACAUGUCAUUCCUAAUUUUUGUAACACGAUGUGGCAGCAUAUGCACAAUCAAAUGAGGCAAAAGGGAUUCGACUAUCGUGGCAGAACAUGGACGAGGACGCGUGAUGAAUAAUUCCUUCGAUAAAACGAAAAACAAACGCAGAGAAAAGAAUUUCUUAUAUGACAAGAAAUUAAAGUAAUGUGACGGAACAUGAUGAAGAAAUUGCAGAUCGAUCAAUUAUCCCCAUGGACUCCUAUAAAUUCAACCAAAAUAACAAUUCCAAUAUUACCAAAUUCUUGAGUUAAAUUUAUUCAAUGCUUUUUUUUAAGAGAAAUUUUUUCCAAUGCUACUUUCCCUUUUUUGGGGAAAUUAGAACUGCGGCAUGUAUAGAAGACAUUGAGGUAUAAAGCAACAUUAAUUUCAUGGGUUAUGCGUUAUACGCAUAAUAUAUUUUCAGUCCAAAUUCAACUAUGCAAAGAGGCUUGAGAACUUAAAAUUAAGCACAAACUAAACAGACGAAGUAAAUACAUGAUUAUGCAACAUAACAUUAAUUCUCUUAAUUUAUAACCGUUUUGCCACAUGAAUCUUGCACAGUUAAUCCUAAUUGAAGACUAAAAAAGAACAAUUGGAACAAGGUUUUGAAAUAGAAUGAUAGACAAUCGAUAUGAUCCAUUUCCAGUCGUCAACGCUAAUUAACUGCAGUUUCUAGACUCCUAAUUAUACUAGCCAUAAGAAACUGUUUAGAAAACUGGUGAUCAGAUUAGAUUUUGAAAUGAAAUAAUGUUCAUUUUCCCUUCGUUACCCUUUUAUUUAUUUAUUAUUUUUAUACCAAAGAAUUCUAUCAUGAAACGAAUCAAUUUAAUCACCUUUUCCAGCAGCACAAUUUUUCUUUUAUAAAAUUUGACCACAGAGACAAAGAAGAAUUAUUCAUACCUUCAUCAGUAAGGAAAUACUUUUCGGUAUGGCUAGGGUGAGAAAAGGCUUUCCACAAACACUUGUACUUUGUAUUCCUGUAAAUUUUCUUUAAAGUCAAUAAAAAUCAUAAGUUCUUUACAAUAACCAUCUCUUUGAUAAAAAAAGUGCCGUAUUCCUUUAGAAUUUAAAACCGGCAAAAUCGAAUCAGUGUCUUUGAAGAGACAUAAUGGUCAUAAUUCUUUAAAGAGUUGGCUAUGGAAAUCCUUAUCCAAGAUUCUUUUACGCCAUAUUCUUUCGUAAACCAAAAUUCAUUUUGGAAUACUCUGUUGAGAAUGUCAAAUAAAACGGUAUUGAAGGAAGUUUUCAAAGGCAGAAUCCGCACUUGUCAAAGGGAUGAUCUGCAUUUGUCAGAGACACAAUCUGCGUCGAAUGAAUCGACACAUUUCCUUUUGUAUUCGCAUAUGUAAUUUUUGAAAAAAUGUAGCUUCUGCAUCUAUAAAUAACGCUCAGUGUAUAAUGUUUUAUUCAAAAAAAGAAAACAAGUUUCUUCAUACUCGUCGUCCGAACAUACAGAGACCGUCUCUCAUAACUUCAGCCGAAUACUUAUGAUGAUGAUCAUUUGUGAUUUCAUCAGGCAUAGGGUUGAUGGUGAAAAAUUUUGUAUGUGUGAAGAAUUGAGCUGUGGAUAUAGGGGACUUAAGUGUAAUCGAAAGAGAGUUAUUAGGCCAUAGUGUAGAUUGCAUUCAGUUUAUGAGUCGAUAUGCAAAUAAUUUGUUGACGUGGCGAAAUUUGUUAUGGUCGUUACUAUUGUUUCUGGAAAUUUUCUAGAAACCUCAGCAUAAAAGGGGCUUUUGGAUAGCCUCUGGUGUGCGUGUGAUUUCUCUUUCGUUUCCUCAUCAAAUUCUGUAAUUCUUGCUUUGAUAAAAAGCUUGUAAUCUCUUCUGUAAUUGUGAUCAGUGCGUAAUCAUUUUGAGCGAUAAAAGCUUGUAGGUUUUUCCUUCAAACAAUGUCGUUUUGGUCAGUUUGUUAGUUUGAUCUGUUGGUGGAAUUUUCUUUGGUUAUUUGUUCUCAAAUUUCAACCUUAUAUAAAGUUUGAACUCUAAUGGCUUAUAAUGUAUUGAUUAAGAAUAAUCCUAAGAGUUUCCGAUUGAAAUUUUUAAUGACUAUUUUUAUUGUUUUGGAUGCACAAAUUGCAUUAAGAAAAAAUAUUGUCAAAUUCAGAGGAUAACGGGAAAUAAUUAUGCUUCAAAAGGCCAGAGAUUAGAGAAUAAAGAAGCAUUCAUUACUGAUAUAAAAACUGCUUCUAUUUGGAUUUUGAAAGGGGUGAAGUUUUGAACUUCAGUUGUUCCUCUAAAAUCAAAAGCAAUAAUUAAGCAUUCUCAAUUAGAAAGAGCAAAGAAGACUUAUUGGUACCUUACUGAAGCUAACAUUAUGGCACGGUUGUUCAUAUGUAAUGGCUGCUCUGUUAUGCUAGCUUCUCUGUUUUUGCUUCUAUUUUUGCUUACAGUUUUGAAGAUAAAUUCUUGCUCAAAUAACACAUAAUUAAAUAACACUAAUAUGGCUCAUGAAAUCCUAUAAUAGCUAAUUACGCAACUUUCUCCUCCUCCUCAAUUCUGUCUUCCCCUGCUCGGACACUAACUUCAAAAUUCAAUGCCCCGAAAAACAACACAAGAAAUCUUUGAGUUAGUUCGUGACCAGUUUAUAUAUAGUAGCAAUUGAAAAAAGAAAAAGAAGAAAAGAGUUAAUUAUUUUUCAGACCUUCACUUAUUAGGAAGUUUGUUCUGCUAUUGGGUGAGAUCAAGCUCUCAGCAUAUACUUCCACAUGAUACUUUCUAACAUUUUCUUGAAAGCCAUCAAUCAUUAAAUCUUCAUACUUUUUUCCAUCCUUUGGAUCAAUAAGUACAAAUUUCUCAUCUAAAAAAGACAAAAUAAAAUCACUGUCCUUCAUGGAAUCAGAAUUGAGCUUACAAAAACCGAAGUGGACAGUUCCAUUCAGAUUGGUCGCCCGAGAACAAUGAUGAGAAGACUUAAAAUCAGUUUCAAAGGUUUUCCAAGUAUUGUUCCUCUAAACCACUUGUAUAUUUUACCAGAACUCUUGGUUAAGAAAAUCCUAGUCCAUGGAGUAUGAUAUAUCAAUCAUGCAACAAUGACCUACAACAUCUAUGUGGAUUGAUUUUUGCAAAAUAAAGAACAAUGCUGACUGAGGAAUAAGGUGCAUACCCGAUUAGCAAUAUCUCAGCAAGUAACCAACAAUUUUUUAUCUGAUAAGAAAAAAUUACAAUUUCUUGAAUAUACAUGAAACAUUUUGCAGAAAGAACCAUGUCAUAAUUAUUAGUCCAACUGAAGAAUUAUCAAUACUUAUCACAUGAAACGAAAGAUACCCGAGUUCACUUAAUGAAAUUCUCUUUUUUUUUUCUCUAACAUUGAGAUAAGCAAAAACUUUUAACUAAAGACAAUCAUCUAGUGAUCUCAAACAAAUGAGGUUAGUAUGAAACCAUCAUAAUUUGUUCGCUCAUUGCCUAAUUUUAUUAAUGCAAGAGCCUGGAAGCAACUCAAAAAGAAAAUAACCGACAUAGGAAGUGUCAUCUCAUAUCUCACCAAUGAAUGGGAACAGCUUGAUGUGGCUGAGCAAACUGGCAGAAUUGUCAUUUUAACACACGUUCAAGAAACUCAGCAAAUUCUCAUAUCUGUUUAAAUUCCACAGCAAAGAUAGUUACAAGAAAUCUAAUCAAAAUUUAAAAUGUCAGAAGGCAAAUCUUCCAAUUAGGAUCAAAAGAAGAUAAUUAUAAUUUGUCAUUUCAAUUCUGAAUGUACAAUUUUAUUUUUUUAUGUGUGCAUUAAUUAAGAUUCUACCUUCUCUGCAAAAUUGUGAUGGACUUGGUAAAUAAUGAAUUGUAUCGACUUGAAUUUUAUACAACUUAUUGAGAUAAUAAUACGCCAAAUUCAACACCGUCCAUCCCAAAUCACAACAAGAAACUCAAACUUUUAUCCCCUCAAGUGGGUUCUUGAAACUGAAGCUUUAGUGCCAGUACAAUUUUGAAAGAUUGUGAUCAAACUAAAACAUCAAAUAAAAUAAGACGUAACAAAAACACGUCUUCAGAAAAUUAGUAUAGGAAUAAGAUAAGCUACACAGACCUACUUCAAUGAAUUAGAAAAAUUAUGAUAAACUUGAUGCAUUUCGAAAAACAACAAACAAAUAUUCCCAGGAAAACAAAAAAAAGACAACUUUGUUUAAGCUUAGACAAAAAUAACUAAGGACAUAUGAAUGCAUCAUAAUAGUAUCUCUAUGGGUAAUUUUCAGAAAUCUCCCCUAAGGUAUGGUGUAUUCUUAGUUUGAUAGAAAAUAUCUAAGUAUUCUUAUAGACCUCCCCUACUGUUAGUAUUCCAUUUCGUAUAUGUUAGGUAGAUGAGGGUAAGAUCGUAAUUUGAAUAAGUUAAUGAUAAAAAAUCCAGAAAUUUUAAGAUUUUCACAUUGGCCUCUGGGCUUUAUUCAUCUCUUUCAUCCACCAAAACCAGAAAUACAACUCACCUCUCUCCUCCACCUAAAUCGAAGCAAGGUAGCUCAAAACUCAUUUCAAAAAAUUGAUCAAUUACUUGGGUCACAAACUAGAGACAAUGACGACGAAGUUGAUGACGCCAAUAUCGACGACGAAGCUGAUGACGCCAAUAUCGACGACGAAUGAUUCGCAACUGCCAGGUAAGAGAGUAUAGUAGGUUUCGCCAUCGAACGCCCAAUCAUCCAGUUGUUUUGGAGCCGCGUUAUUUUUAUUAGCUAAAAUUAGAAUUUUUAGUGAAAAAUUGAAAGUGGGUCUCAAAAUUUUUUGAGAGCGUAUAUGUUUCUCCUGAUUUUUCGAUCGAUUCGUGUUAGUUGCAGUUAAAUGAUUAAUCCAAUUCGUGUUGAAGAUAGAGCUAACUCGAAUAUCUCUAUAGUCCUGUAAUUGAUUGAAAAUGGGUCUUGAAAAUUGUUUUAGAUUUCAGCUGUGUGCUUCUGAUUUUUUCCAUGGAUUCAUGAUAGAUGAAAAUGGUUGAUGAAGAUUUGCUUGACAUGUAUAUAGAUGGUAUUUUGUUAAAGGGGUUUUAAUUUUUUCCUUUUUUGGUGGUUUCGAUUGUGGUAUUUACAUGCCUUAGGUUGAGAAAAACGAAAAUGGUUUGUUGCACUCUUUUGUGUUGGAUCAGUGAGUUUAGGCGAUUUGAAAUGGUUUGCGGCAUUCAAUUGAUUGUUUUAUUUAUGUGGUUUGAUAUGGGAAAAGUAUAAUAAAAUUCAAUUGUUCCAUAUGUCAAUUUGGAUGUUUUGAAAUUAUGAACUACAAAAAGUUAAAAUUAAUUUCUUAUUAUAUUUUCAAUUGAAAGUUACUAUUGUCUUCUUUUUAGUACUUAGUAUGCAUUUUUCCCCAUCUUCUAGUGGUGGUGUUGCACCCAUUUUGAAUUUGAUCGGCAUCUUCUUCUGUACAUGCAUGUUUCUUGGACUCCAAUUUUUGUUUCAUAUGAUGAAGCUAAUUUAAUUCCUCCUUUUUAAUAUCAACUUUGUUCAUCUAGGUUUGCGAUUUUGAUCUUUCUCAUUUGAAGGCAAACACAUUUAUGUCAUCAAAAUUUCCAAUAUUUUUUAUUUUAUAGUAUCCAAACUGCUUAUGGCAAUAUGAAAUUGAGAAUAUUUCUUUCAUCAUGUUAACCUAAGUGGAUGGUGGAUGAUGUUUGUGUAAGAGAUUUAAGUUAUUUGUAUUAUAGAAUAUGUCUUAUGUUUUGAUUUGCAAUUUCACCAUUAAAUUGGCUUUGUAAAUGAUUAGAAGCUAAAUGCAUAAAAUGAAAACAAUAGUAACAUUUCUGAGUGGGGUAUAAUCAGAUGCUAACAUGGCGAUCCAUGACUUGUAAUUUCUAUUGUCGUUAUAAUUGGACUAGAUCGAGGUAAACUGACUUUUCUUGUUCUGUUUUUUUUUUCAUUUCUUUGUUCUAGAUUUUUCUUUCUUUGUUUUACUUCUGGUUUCUUCUUCAGCAUAUUCAAUAACUAGCAUGAGCAAAUGGAGAGGAAAAGGGUAGAAUAUGCUUUUAAAAAAAAAGAAAAGAAAAAAAGAGAUAGCUCUAAUUCAAAAAUAAGGAGGAGAAAAGGGCAAUGAUUGAAGUUGUGGAGAAGAAAUUCUUAAUGCAUAGGAGAUGACAACAAAGUGUUGCAACUGGGAGCAGUUUUAAAGUGCUAUUCGAUUGCUUUUGUAAUCAAAUUGUCUUUUGUACCUAUUUAUACACACACAUAUUUGUAUUUGUAAUUUGAAUUUUACAUUUUCUCAAGACAACUAUGUUUAUUUUAAAAAAAAUCUAAAUGUAACUAAAAUAUUAAAGUUUUUGUACUUAUUACUCCAUUUGAUGAUUUUUUUUAUUUUUUUGCUGACGAAUAUUCCAUGUCAAUUUUUUUCCCUUCAGCUCGUUUAAGGUGUUUUAUUGUCUGAUGUGAUAUUUGGUGCUCGGGAGGAAGGGUGUUUUAAGUCUUUUUUGGUGUCAGGGGCAAUUUUGUCUUUACAUCAGUCAACAAAUAGUCAAUGGAUGGAAAUGCAAACAGCAGGGGAGGUGUCUGAUAAUACACGGAUACUUUCUAUCAAACUUAUAAUACACAAAAUCUCAGGGGAGGUUUUUGAAAAUUACCCAACUGUGCAAAAUUAUGAAAAAAAUGAGCUAAACAUAUAUAGCAUUUCAGAGGAGUGCUUACUUGACAAAUCACUAAUACAAAGCUGCGAAUGGGCAUUCGGAAUGUUUUGAGAGACUCGUAUGGAUAAAAUAUGUAGUUAUUUAAGUAAUGACAGAAGGAGAAUCGUGUGGCUUGUCAAAGCCGUUAGCUCCAUCUCAUUUGCCUCGUCCUCUCGUUUUGUUUCUGUGGGGACAUAUUUGAUAUUUUGGAUUUUGUCUAAAAUUCGUCAUGUUUUUGGAUACUAACAUCUGCGCCUCUAGACCAAUAGCCAUUUGAUUAAGUGGGAGAACCCUUACACUAGUGUAAGAAUUUGAACUUUUAUAAAAUUAUUUAUGAGAUUAUUUAUAAUUUUUUUUAAUUAUCAAAUAAUUGAGUAGAGUCAGUUUAAUCCUUACGAAAUAUUUACUAUUCAUAAAUAUCUUUUUUUUUCUCUAUCUUACAAUUGAAUAUUCUCUCUCUACUCCAACAUUAUGUAACCUAAAUAUUUAAUUUCACUCUUUUUUAAUUUAUUUUUUUGUCUUUUCUUAGUAUAUUAUAAUCUUUAUUUCAUGUUUUCUAUAUAUAAGAAUUUUUUUAUAUCUAUUAAAUUUUGUGUUUAGUGAAAAUUAAUUUCUUGAUAUUUUUAAUUUUUAUAAUUGAUAAAAAUAUAUCAAUGUUCAUUUUUAAAUGAUGGGUUUUGUUCAUUUUAGUUUGUUAUAUUAAUUUUUUGUAGGUAAAAGAAUAUAUUUGAAUGAAUUGAAGGAAAAUUGUGAAAUUGAGAAGAGAAAGAGAAGAAAAAGUUAAUUAAAUAAUUUUUUCAAAAAUUAUUUAAAUAAUAAAAUUCUUAAUUAAAAACAAAGAUGGAGAGAGAAAUUUAGUGGGUUCAAAAUACUUAUUUUAAAUCCAAAAAAGAACCAAUAAAAGAAAUCAAAAGAUGAUUCUUUUCUUUCUGACAUAUUUCUCUGUACUUUUCUCUCUCUACUGAUUCACAAUUUUUCAUACUUCUAACUAUCAUUUUAUUCAAGUAUUUUGUAUUUUUAAUGACAAUUAUUUAAUUUUUAGUUAGUUUUGAUAUUGAUUAGAGAUUUAAAGUGUAUUUUAGAAGACUUCCGGUCUCUUGAAAAAAGGAAAAAUGGAGAAGAAGAAGUGUUCUUGAUUUUUUGUAGGCGUUAAAGUUAAAUGGUUUGAAAUGAUAUUCUUUUUUAAUUUCACUCAUUAAUCUCAUUCAAGAUAAAAUUAUAAAUGCAAAUAAAUGGGGUUUCAUAAGUAUUUUUAAUAGUGUUAAAAGGUCUACUCACUAAAUAAACAUGUUUAACCCAAACCAAUGCGAUUAGUAAGUUAUUGGGUUGGGUUAAUCAGGUUAAAAAUCAAAAUUAAAAAUUAAAUAAAUAAAAAAGGUAUAAAAACUAUCUGUUACUUGAAAAUAAAAAGAAUUUCUAAUUGUUAGUUCUAAUGUCCCAUAUCCAAAACAUGCAUAUUAAAUAAAUAUUAUAAGUUAGAAAUACAAUAUCCAAGAAAGAAUGAAUGAAAUACCAUAUUUUUGUUGAGAAUUAAGAGUGUGAUUUUAAUUUUGAUAUUGGAGUCUAAAGUGCCACGUUUAAAUAUUCUCUUUUAUAAAAUAAUAAAAAGAGGUUAAAAAUUAGGUUAGCAAUUUAGCCAUUUAGGGUUUAGCAAUUAAGGAUGAACAUAUUAUUGUUGUUGUUGUUAUUAUUAUUAUUAUUUAUAUGUUUACUAAUCCAAUCCAAUCCAAUUAUUAACGAAUUUGAAAAAAUUGAUUCAAUCAAGCCAUAAUAAUUCAUUCAACUCGUCUAAAUUGGAUUAGGUUGAAUUUGGUUUGCCACCCUUGUUUUGAGCAACAAACCUCAAUGUGAUUCCAUGAGCUCUUUGAUUGUUUAUAAAAUUGUUUAUGAAAGUGCAAAAUAAAUUAUUGUAUACAUUAAAAUGUGCAAAACAAUGAAUUAUAUGUACGAACGAGUGCAAACACAUUUUUCAAUAAGAAGUUAAAAGAUAUUUAUGCAUGAAAAAGCCUACGUUUGUAGUUAUUCUAAAUUUUAAAAACAAAAUUUACAUUUAGAUCCCUAAAAUUUACGUAUAAGUACAAAAGUUUCAAAUAUUGUCUAUUAUUUUUUUAACAUGCCUAUUCCUUGUGGAUAAUUCUAUCUCAUCACUAAUGUUGUUUCUUGCUUACAAUUUGUAUAGUGUCUCAAAAUAGACAAUAGGGGGAUUUUGAAUUUUUUAAGUCUCAAUAUAGUCUCUAAUCUUGUGAGAAAGAUUUUCUUUCAAUAAUUUGGAGGUAAACAUAACAUAACUUUUUGGACUAAAGCCUAACUCUGCUGGUUAUGGUGGUAUCCUUUUCAAGACCUGCGUCUUUAGAUUCGAGUUUUAUAGUGUGCAUGCGUAUUUAAUUAAUAAUUUUUUAAAACAAUACAUCAAAUAUUAAUAUCCAUGACAUAAUUUAGUUCUUAAUUUUUUUUUUAAAUACAUCAAAAACAUAAUUUUUUUAACAACUUAUAGGCAUGACAAAUUUCAAGAUAUAAAUAUCAGUCAAAAUAAGUGAAAGAAAUAAUGGUGCCAAUUCUAAUUUCUUAACUAAAUUAAUUAGUGCAUGAGCCCCGAAUACGACACGAGAGUUUGAUGGGCUAACAUGGCACAAGAACCUGAAUAAAUAAUUGAUUUAAGAAAUAAUUCAAUGAAAAAUAUAAUUGAUAAGAAUUCAGUAUUGAAAUGAGUUUUUUAUGAAACACUGAAUUAAUGAUUAUUAAGCAAGAACAAUAAAAAAUAAAUAUUAAUCAUUGAUAAGUUUCAACAAAAGCUUAACACAAUCCUCAAUCCUAAUUCAAAUUAUAAAUGUCAUUCAUAUAUUCAUUAUAAUCAACAACAAAGGUUAUAAAUGUUUAGAAAUUCUAGAGGGAAGGAAGCUAUCGCUGGGCAAUCAACAACUAAAUUUGAUGUAAUUGUGGCACGAGAUGGAAUAUGGAAACUACACCAUAAUUUCAAAUGCCGCCAUAGACAUUGACUUAUCUACAAUAACAAUGAUCUAAUUAAAAUAAAAAUAGAGUUUAUGGGCAUUUAUUAAAAUAAAAAUAGGAGUGAAGUAAAAACAUUUAGAUUUUAAUGUAUGUACGGAAAAAUUUAUCUUUAAAAAUACUUUCUUAAUGUGUGUGUGCAUAUUGAAAUACUCAAACCAAUUUUGGUUAUAUAUAAUUCAACAAAAUUUAAAAUAUGAAAAAUAUAAUGUAGUUAUAGUGGAUAAGCAAUAAGUGAGCACAAUAUAAUUAAUCAAAUACUAUGCUAUCAAAAGUUAAUUUUAGAAAUUCCAAAUCCAAUAGCUAACACAAUUCUUUAAAGAAAUAACAAGGGGCAUUGGGCAAGAGUAAUGAAUGCUUAGUGGGUGCAUUUGAUUGAUAGAUAUAUAAAGGGCCGAAACUUGAUAUUAUAUUACUUUUACAAAAUUUAAUCCAAUCACAUAUUUAAUGAAAACAAAAUGAGUUAGGAUUGUUUAUUUAGAACCCACAUUUUAAUAAGGCUUCAUUUGAUGUAGUUUUUCAAACAUUGAUUAUUUGAGUAAUUACAAAGUACAAUACGUACCAAGUUUGGUAACUUAAUUGACAUCUUCUCAUAUAACCUUCGAUCAAGUCGAUUCUGACCUGACGACUAAUUGGUACAUCACCGUUGUUCUCUAUACUCGCAUGCAUCCGAUCACAAAUCUCACUCCAAUUGUCGUCUUUCUUCGGCGUUUUAGCGCAUCCUUCUUGAAUUUCCCGCAUUUCGUUCCCUCCUGUUACAAGUCUCCGGUCAGGUCAGUUCACUUGACGAUUAAUUCGGCAAAUCUCGAAUCUCUUCUCUAUCCCUCUCGUUUUCUCGUGUCUCCUUUCAGUUUAAGUGAUUGAAUCAAUUUUAUCGCAGUCUUAAGAGAAAUUAAGUAAUGCUCUUGGAUUUAAAAUUUUUUUGCUUUCGACUUUAGAUCUCGAAAGUCAAACUCUGCUACGAAUCCAUAGAUUCUCAAUGUUUAUAAUCUUAUUUGUGUUUGACCAGGUAACUGGAUCGUGAAAUUCGUCGUUUUGUAUCAAUUCAAGCUUUCGCGAGCUCAUGGAAUCCCCUGGUGAGUUGUGGUGAAACGUUAUCGUUUCAAUUUUCGCUUAAUUCUUUAUUGCAUAUUUUUUUCUCUCUAAUAUUUCAGUUUAAUUUAGAAAAGAAAGAGGACCCAAAAAGAGAGAGAGAGAGAGAGAGACUCUACCAUACUCAAUUCCUUGCUCAUUCUGAUUUGGCCUGAAUGUUGGCAUUGACUAUUAUUUGUUUUCAUUUCGAUUUAAUUCUCAUUUAGACAGUCUUUUUUAACUAGCAAUAAUCUUUUUAAGGAAAAUGAUAAUAGGGAUUCUGCAAUAAUCUUUUUAAGGAAAAUGAUAAUAGGGAUUCUGCAAUAAUCUUUCUGCAUUGUUCAAGUUAGUAGACAAUGAAUAGGGUGUUUAUGUUUACCUCAUUUUGAACCCUGAGGGCUUCGUUGAGUAGUUGAUCCAACAUAUCCAGCACCGGUUGAUGUGAGAACAGGAUGCCAUUUAGAUAGGCUUAAACUGAUUUUGGAGGUUUGUAUUCAUUCUAUUGUAUGUCUUGCUUACAAAUUUUUUAUUUUUUAUUUUUAAUUUUGUAUAAUAUGCUCUUUGUUGGUAAAUCUCAUUUGACUUAGAAGAGAUAGUUUUAUCCCAACAGUGGGAUAAAUCAUUGAGAUGCAUGGCAGUGUGAAUAUAGUAGACAAAAUCAUUGAGACAGAUGGUGGUGUGAACAUAGUAAACUUUGUCAAACACAGCUAAGAUAAACAAAUUGUUUCAUUAGCCUUUAUCUUAUCUGCUGUGAUGAUUCAAAUUAAUGCUGUUUGGUAGGUUGCAAAAAACGAAAUGAGCUGACUGUUCAUAUUAUUUAGUCAGAUCUAUUGCAAUAAGUUGAAGUUCACUGUCACAUGGGUUGGGAGUAGCGUGGGCUGUGAGUAGUAGAAUGGAUUUAUGGAGUUGAUACAAGUGCCCAUAAUCUAUCAUGUCAUUCUAGGAUUAAAUGGAUUGCACAUUACUGUAAAGAUGGAGGUUAAAUUUAUAUAAUUCGGAUUGAUUGUAAAAUGGGAGGCAGAGAUGAGUUAGAAAAAAAAUGACCUGUGUCCUUUUUGAGCUGUUUCUAAAUCUCCCUGGUGUGCUUCAUGCUUAACACGUGUCUGUCCAAAUAAUUUUGCUUAACCUGUGCUUGUCUACUUCUUGUGCUAUUCUGUGCCUGGUCCUGAGCUGUGUUGGUAGAUUGACAUAAUUUUGCUCUGCUAAAUGUAUAACUUAUUAAUCAGAGUCCUGUUAUUAUGGUUUGACACUACUGACAUGUUGUGUUGGUAUUUAUUUGUACUUCCCUUGGUUGAAUUAUUUGCUGUCUCCAUGCCAUUCGAUAUGGUGCUACUUGGUUUUUGAUCAUCCAUGACGCUAUAUAUAUGUAAAGGAUGAAUUGAUUGUUUUGGCUUGUAUUCUCACAUUUUAUGAUUGAUCGAUGGAAAGGUCUUCAUGUAUUAAAUUCAACCUCACAAGCGUAAGAUUGACAGAUUGUGGGAAAAUUUUCAGGAAAAGAAACUAGACUUCAUGGAAGCAAUGAAGCUUGAAAUUGAACGUCUGCAGCUGCAUCUUUCUGCAGCUGAAAGGGAUAGAGCUUUAUUGUCAAUUGAAACUGAUCCUGCCUCUAUAAAUCCAAAUGUAUUGCUUGAUGAAUCUUACAUGGGAAGACUGUCGAGUAGCAACCACUCUUGCAUUACUUGGCCAAACUUCCCUAGAAGACAAAAUUGUUGGUGCAAUUGGCCUUGAGAAUAGUGAUGAUAGUGUUUUAGACUUCUGGAAUAUUACUAGAAUCGGAGAGAGUUGUUCUGGUGGCGGGUGCAAGGUUUGUGCAGAAACUAAGGUGCCUGCUCUUGCUUCCUCAACUGCAACAUCUGUUGGAGCUUCACAAUCCCCUUUGUUGUGUUCUCAAUGUGAAAGAAAAGUUUGCAAAGUUUGUUGUGCAGGAAGAGGAGCUCUACUGUUUUCAAAUUAUAAAUCAAGGGAUGUGACCAACUACAAUGGCUUCUCAAGUCAGAGUGGAUGAAGCCAUGGAAGCCAAGUUGAUGUAUCUACCAGUCGUUCACUAACACUGGAUGGCGUUAUCUGUAAACACUGCUGCCAUGAGAUUGUGCCUGAUGCAUUGAUGUUGGACCAUGUUAGGGUCUUGAUUAGCUUGCGAAGAAGUUCCUGUGCAGACAACGCAGUCAUACAAUGCUUUGAAUGAGGUUGUUGGAUCCUGCUUAAAGGAUAGUGUUUCUGAAAGGAUUCAGUCUUCCGAUAACGUGCAAGCUGCUGAAGUCCUUCACCAAUUAUGUGGUGGACAGGAAUCACUUGCUGAAUUUCCAUUUGCUAGCUGUUUGCACUAGGUAUGUUCUUGGUUUGUAUUCAGUUCUCAUCAUGUUAUGUUUUCCUUUUAAAUUUCUUUUCUUGAUUAAAAUUUUUAGAAAUAUGUUUUAGUAUUUGUUCUUAUGAUAUAUGCCCAGAACAUUCAUCCCACUUAUCCAUGAGAAUCCUUGUCUGGUUUGAUUUUCAAUUGAGACAUUUUUGGGAACCCUGAGCAGGUUCCAUAUGCUAAUAAUCUUUGAGGUAAGGUGUUGUAGGAUGCCUUGAGAAGCUAAAAACCUAUUACAAGGAAAAGCUCUUGCAUUGUUUUGUGGAAUCUGUGUUGUGAAAAUAGGUAGAGAAAAAGUUUAUGGAAUAAUUCUCUUAUUUCAUAUGUUCAUGAGACUGUACACAGUCUUUAUAUAGGGAUACAAGAGACUAAGAAAGGAAAGAAAAAAUUAAAGCAGAAUAUUACACACUGAUUUCUAGGAAGCAAUAACUCUAUAUUUACACCAAAUAUACACCUAAAUAUAUAAGGAAAACCAAAUCAAUUUGAUUUGGUCAACCUUUCAACACUCCCCCUCAAGCUGGUCUAAAAAUGUCUUUCAUGGCCAGCUUGCAAACCAAUUUCUCAAAAUGUUUCUUAGGUAGUCCCUUGGUGAGUAUAUCAGCAAUCUGCUCAUUUGUAGGAAUGUAGGGCAUGCAGACCAAACCACUGUCCAGUUUUUCUUUUAUGAAAUGUUUGUCCACUUCAACAUGUUUAGUUCGGUUGUGGAGUACUGGAUUAUGUGCUAUUGCAAUGGCAGAUUUGUUGUCACAAUAUACUUUCAUAGGUAGAGAAUUAUUUGCCUUAAGUUCUUCAAGAACUUUUUUGAUCCAAAAAACCUCACAAAUUCCUAGAGCUACUGCUCUAUAUUCUGCCUCUGCACUACUUCUUGCUACCACAGUUUGUUUCUUGCUGCGCUAAGUGACCAAAUUUCCUCCGACAAAGGUGCAGUAACCCGAAGUGGAUCUUCUAUCGGUUACACUACCAGCCCAGUCAGCAUCAGUGUAGACUUCUACUUGUAGGUGCCCGUUUUUUCUAAACAAAAGACCUUUACCCGGAGAUCCUUUUAAGUAUCUAAGGAUUCUAUAUACAGUUUCAAAGUGUUCUGGUCCUGGAGCAUGCAUAAACUGGCUGACUAAGCUCACUGCAAAGGCUAUGUCCGGGCGUGUAUGUGAAAGGUAGAUUAAUCUACCUACAAGGCGUUGGUACCGAUCUAUGUUGGUCACAUCUUCAAUAUUAGCUGGCUGUAAUUUCAUAUUAGGAUCUAUGGGUGUCUCGGCUGCUUUACAUCCGAGUAAACCUGUCUCUUCAAGCAAAUCAAGAACAUACUUGCGUUGAGACACAACAAUCCCAUCUUUUGAUCUAGCAAACUCCAUGCCCAAAAAAUACUUCAGGUUGCCUAAGUCUUUGAUUUCAAAGUCACGUGCAAGCACUUUCUUUAAUCUGCAAAUCUCAACUAAGUCAUCACCAGUCAAAAUUAUAUCAUCUACAUAUACAAUUAACACGACUAAUUUCCCUUCAAUAGAAUGUUUGUAAAACAUUGUAUGAUCUGCCUGACUUUGGGAGUAGCCGUGUCCCUUUAUAACAUUACCAAAGCGUUCAAACCAUGCUCUAGGAGACUGUUUGAGCCCAUACAAAGACUUAUGUAGUUUACACACUUUACUGUUGCCAUGAUUUCCCUCAAAACCUAGUGGUAAAUCCAUAAAGACUUCUUCUUCUAGCUCCCCAUUCAGAAAAGCAUUUUUAACAUCUAACUGGUAUAGAUUCCAAUCAGAAUGUACAGCCAAUGAGAUAAGGACCCGGAUGGAAUUUAUCUUUGCAACGGGGGCAAAAGUUUCUUGAUAAUCAAUUCCGUAGGUUUGAGUGAAUCCUUUUGCUACAAGCCUUGCCUUAUAUCUCUCAACACUCCCAUCAGCAUUACAUUUAAGUGUAAACACCCACUUUCAACCCACAGUUUUCUUUUCUUUUGGUAAAUCCACAAUCUCCCACGUACCAUUCUUCUUUAGAGCAUUCAUUUCCUCUAAAACUGCUAACUUCCAAUCUGGGUGGUCUAGGGCUUCUUUUAUGGUUUUAGGAAUUGGUAUUUGAGAGAUUUUUGUGGUAAAGGCUCUUUGUUUAUUGGACAACUUUUCAUAGGAAACAUAUCUAGCAAUGGGGUGCUUAGUACAGGUUCGGGUUCCUUUCCUAUGUGCUAUGGGUAAGUCAAGAUCAGGAAAAAAAGUGCUGAAAUGUUUAGGAGAAGAAAUGUUACCUGAAUUUUCUGAGGAAUCAGUGCUUGGAGGCAACGAUUGAGGCUGUAUCGAGUUUAUGAGAGGGUCUUUACUGUUGUGAUGAUACUUUCGAGUAUAAACACGCAGCUCUGGUGGUGGAAUUUUAUCUUGUAGUAUUUCUCCCCCUGUCUCUGGUACAUUAACACUUGGUUCCUGUAGUUCAAGGUUUCCUAGGUUUUCAUUAUUAGAAAUAUCAGUUUUUUGAGUUUGAGUUGGAGUGCCCAGAUCAGGUAAAAACUGAUUAGGCAUAGGUGUAGAAGUAUGCCAAAAAUGAUCUUCACUAUUUUCUUUCUCCCCCUGAAGAGAAUUUUGGCCAAAAAAAGGUUGAUUUUCGAGAAAUAUAACAUCCAUACUGACAUGGAAUUUCUUUGUUUGAGGAUUGAAACAUUUGUAACCUUUUUUAUUAGGUGCAUAGCCCAAGAAAACACAUUUUUCAGAUCUAGGAUCCAAUUUAGAUCUAAGAUGGUUAGGAACAUGAACAAAUACAGUGCACCCAAAGACUCUUAACUGAAUAUUGGAGGUAAUCCUACUAGAAGGAUAUAUAAGUGUGAAGUAUUCUAAAGGUGAUUGAUACUUUAAAACACGGGUAGGCAUCCUAUUAAUCAAAUAACAUGCUGUUAAAACAGCAUCACCCCACAAAUAUUUAGGAACAUGCAUAGAGAGCAUGAUAGCCGACUAACUUCAAGUAAAUGGCGGUUUUUUCGUUCCGCAAUUCCAUUUUGUUGUGGAGUAUCACGACAAGUGGAUGUGUGAAUUAUACCCUUUUCCUUACAAAACACCUCUAGAUAAUUAUUAAAAUAUUCAGUACCAUUAUCUGUAUGGAGUAGACUUAUUUUUGUUUGAAAUUGAUUUUCAACCAUGUUAUAAAAAUCUUUGAAUAACCCCUCAACUUCAGAUUUUUCUCUCAUUAAAUAAACCCAACAAAGCCGAGUAUGAUCAUCUAUGAAUGUUACAAACCAUUUUUUUCCAGUUAAAGUGUUGAUUUUUGAGGGUCCCCAAACAUCACUAUGAAUUAAAUAAAAAGGUUUUGAGGCACGAUAAAUAAGUGCUUUAUAUGAAACUCGAUGACUUUUAGAUAAAAAACAACUUUCACACUGAAAAGUAGUACAAUCAACAUUUUUAAAUAAAUUUGGAAACAAAUAUUUCAAAUAAGGAAAGCUAGGGUGUCCUAGUCUAAGGUGCCAAAGCAUUAUUUGAUCCCUAGCAGAGUUUGAACUAAUACUACUGCUCAAACCUUGAGUUUGUUUAUUCCUUGAUAAGUAGUCAUCAAAAUAGUAAAGACCUUCUCGCAAACUAGCACUGCCAAUCAUCGUCCCCAAGUCCCUGUCCUGAAAUUCACAAUGGGAGUCAAAAAAGACAGCACAACAAUUAGAAUCUUUGGUUAAUUUACUGACAGAUAACAGAUUGCAAGAAAGUUUAGGGACAUGUAGCACAUUUUUAAGCUCAAUGGUUCCAGAGAUUUUUAUUGAUCCUUUUCCAGCUAUGGAAGAUAAGCUUCCAUCAGCAACUCUUACCUUUUUGUUACCAGGGCAAGGAUAAUAGGAAUCAAAUAAACUAGAAAUGCUAGUCAUAUGAUCAGAAGCACCCGAAUCAAUAAUCCAUGGUGCAGUAGUUGAGUGGCUAAAUAGAGCAUUAAUAAUACUACCUGUUUGGGCUAGUGAACCACUAGGAGUACUAGGUGGAGGAUUAGAAGUCAGCAGCUUUAUGAGAUGGUCAAUUUGCUCCUUGCUGAGAUUUUUUUCUAGAUUCUCCACUUCAUUGGCAGACGCACGGCUAUGCUUGCUGUUUUUCCAAUCUGCAGGCUUUCCGUGGAGUUUCCAGCAAGCCUCCCGAGUAUGGCGUGGUUUAUUACAGUAAUCACACCAUACUCGAGGUUUUUGUUGCUGUUGAGUGAUGGAGCGGGUAGCAUUAUCUGCUGUAACAAGGGCAGAUUUUUCCACAGAGACAACGGAGUUCUUUUUUCCCAACAUAACACCUCGACGACUUUCUUCUCUCCUUACUUAAGAGAAAACAUCCUCAAGAGUAGGAAGUGGCUUUCUCCCAAUAAUUCUUCCUCUUACCUCAUCAAAUUCAACAUUGAGCCCAGCCAGGAACUUGAAGAUUCGCUCAUUAUUGACAGUUUGUUUGUGGUGUUUAAAAUCUUCCAUGCUCUCCCACUCGUAGUCGUUGAAUAAGUCCAGAUCUUGCCACAAUCUCUUUAGAGUAUUGAAGUAUUUUGUUAUACUAUAAUCUCCUUGACGGAUAUCUCCAAGAGCAAGCUGCAACUCAUAGAUCUGGGACUGAUUUCCAUAGUCAGAGUACAUCUGACUCACAUUAUCCCAGAGUUCUUUUGCAGUAGAGUAGCACAUAUAAUUUGCACCAAUGUCUUCAUCCAUGGAGUUGACUAACCAUGCCAUAAUCAUGGAGUUUUCGGCAUCCCAAACACCAUAAGAGGGAUCAGAUAUUUCAGGAGCCUUAACAUCUCCGGUAAGAUAACCAAUCUUCCCUCUUCCCCUAAUAUACAUUCUAACCGACUGAGACCAUCUUUGAAAAUUUCCUUCAUUCAGCCGGAUAGUUGUAAUCUGGACAGAAUGAGAUUCAGAAUGGGAAAUUUUUGGUUCUAGUCUUUUUGAGGUGACUGUGGUUUCAGAAGAUUGGUCAGACAUGGUAGGGAAGAGAUCAGAAAGAAAGGGAGCCUAGCUCUGAUACCAUGUGAAAAUAGGUAGAGAAAAAGUUUAUGGAAUAAUUCUCUUAUUUCAUAUGUUCAUGAGACUGUACACAGUCUUUAUAUAGGGAUACAAGAGACUAAGAAAGGAAAGAAAAAAUUAAAGCAGAAUAUUACACAUUGAUUUUUAGGAAGCAAUAACUCUAUAUUUACACCAAAUAUACACCUAAAUAUAUAAGGAAAACCAAAUCAAUUUGAUUUGGUCAACCUUUCAACAUGUGUGCUAGCAAGUCAUGUCUCUAAUAAUUUCAUAGUUUGCUUGAUUGGAAUUUUUUAUCUUGAUAUGGAUUGUUUAUUCUAGAUUCCUUGGUGCUGUAGGUUGAAACAGCAAAAGAUUCAGCACCGAUUUUGUCACUGCUUGCUCCAUUAAAUUCUGGAUCAAGGCACUCAUAUUGGAGAGCUCCACCUUGUACUACUUCUGUUGAAUUUGUUAUUGUUCUCUGUUCUGUUUCUGAUGUCAGUGGGGUUAUCUUGCUUGUUAGUCCUUGCGGCUAUUCUGUGGGUGACACUCCGAUGGUAAGUGCCAUAUUUAUUCCCUUAUUUCCUUGUUGUUCAAUAAAUUUGGUGAUAAGCCAAGUGGCCUUAAUAAUGAAGCCCAGUACCAGGGGUGGUGGGUAAUCGAUAUUCAACUUGUGAAUAUUCCUAAGCAAGCACUGAAUCAACAUAGACCUCGGCAAAAGUUCUCCAUGCUAUUAUAACGAAAGUCAUAUUUUGAAAUGAUUAAAAGAGUCCCUGUGUAGUGCUAUUUCCAAAGAAAUUGCAGCUGGAGGUUUAGUUUCAUGUAGGUUAGUUUCCGAUAAUAAACUUUCCAUUUCAUUAAUUGCUGAUGAAAAAACCAAGUAAGAACAGUUUUGUUGCUCGUCAUUUAUGUAUAUUUUGGUAAACUGUAAUUUUAAAUUCUCAACGAUCUUCCCUUUGUAGGUAAGAAGAUGGUCCACUCACUUGAUAUUUAUGAUUGUAGAUCAGGUUUCUAUUGGUUUGCCUUUAUCAUUCGGAACCCAAGUUUGAUAUUAACAGAGAUCACGUCAAUAAUAUCCUAUUUGGGUAGAUGUGGGUGAGGAUUUAAAAUCAAAUUUGAAAUUGAGGGCAAAGAAGAGAAAAGAAACCGCAAUAAUUAAACAAAAUAUUAGGAACUAUUCUGAUGAGUUUUAAUCUCGAGAGGAACAAUUUUCAAAUGCAAAAUUUAACUGCUAGAGAAAUUGUAGCUUUUUGUCAUUAGUUAAGAGGAAAGAGAAUAAGAACUAUCUGGCCCUUUCCUUCAUGAAUGUGUGUUGAGGUUGCUGUAUUAUUUAGUCAGUAUUUGUAAUUUUCUUCCCUGCAGUGCUCUCUGCCUCCUGAAUUUGCUACUGAGUCCAUAUUUUUCUUUGAGCUGUUGCUUCCUAUUGCUGUUACAGGUACAAAUCUGGGCAAGCAAUAAGAUACACCGGGAGGACAGGUCAUCAAUGGGAAAAUGGGAUGUCCAAUCCCUCAUCACAUCUUCUUCAGAUUUGUAUGGUCCAGAAAAGUCUGCUAGUGUUGAAAAAUUACCUAGGCAUGUAAAAUUUACUUUUAAGAAUCCUGUUAGGUGCCGCAUUGUUUGGAUCACAUUACGUCUUCAGAGACCUGGUUCGGCUUCAGUUAAUUUCGGGAAUGACUUCAGUCUUUUGUCUCUUGAUGAAGAUGAAAACCCCUUUGCACAAGUAGACAGACGUGCUUCAUUUGGAGGAGCAGUUGAAAAUGAACCAUGUAUUCAUGCCAAAAGAAUUCUUGUAGUCGGAAGCCCAGUAAAAAGGGAGGGGCUUACCACAUCACAGAGCUCUGAGCAGCUAAGUAUUAGAAACUGGUUGGAUAGAGCUCCACAAAUGAGUAGAUUCAAGGUAUUAGUUGCUUUCACUCUUUGUUCAUUCAUAAUUCCAGCUUUCUGCUUGAUGCCUUGCCUCUGAUAAACCUCUUUUUUCUCUUCAGGUCCCAAUUGAGGCCGAGAGAUUGAUGGACUACGAUCUCGUCUUGGAACAGUAUCUACCUCCAGCGUCACCUUCGCUUGCCGGAUUCCGUCUAGAUGCUUUCAGUGCAAUAAAACCUAGGGUUACCCAUUCACCUUCCUCAGAUUCAGAUAUCUGGGACAAAUCAGUAACAUUUUUAGAAGACAGGUACAUCUCUCAAGCUGUGUUGUAUUUACAAGUAUCCGCACUCCAGGAACCACAUAACAUGGUAACUAUUGCGGAAUAUCGACUGCCGGAGGCUAGAGCCGGAACGCCAAUGUACUUUGAUUUCCCACGACCGAUACAGUCCCGACGAGUUUCAUUCAAGCUUCUUGGAGAUGUUACAGCAUUUGCAGAUGAACCUUCAGAACAAGAUGAUUCAGGAUUGAGAGCUCCACUUGUGGCCACAGGUUUGUCUUUGUCAAACAGAAUCAAGUUAUAUUAUUAUUGUGAUCCUUAUGAGCUCGGAAAAUGGGCAAGCCUUUCUGGAGUUUGAUCGUUAUUUAUAUGUCAGAGAAAGGGUUUUGGGUUUGAUUUUGAUUUUGAUUUGUAAUUUUUGUCAGUUUAUUGAAAUUUUUUGUUGUAUAAAAGCAGAAUGUAAAGGUAUAAAAAUUCAUUGAUGCUGCAAUGUCUGUGCUUUUGAGAAAGAAAGAAUUCUAUGGCUUUUCUAUGCCAUUGGAUUUUCCACUGCCUGUAAACUUGGGCUGUCGAAUGCUCUGUGAACCUUAAGGGCUAUAAAGUAAUUUUCAAGACUGAAGGAUUUAUUAAUCGAGUUCAAAAGAUUGCAAGUUGGUGAGCGUUGGCAUUUAAAAAAUCAAUUGUUAUUCUCUCAAUAAUCUCUGUCUUCUGCCGACACCCCAUGCUCAGAAACCCAUUGUUCCGACGGACGUGUAACACUUCUAGAAAUUGUUUUGAUCUCUCCUCGUGAAGUGUUUUCUUUUUCGAGUGAAGGUGGUUUUCUACUUGCAUACGUCGGGGGUCUUAUGAUAUGUAAUGUGUGAAAUUUCUUUCUCAUUUUACCAUAAAGAAAAAUGUUGUAAUAAUCUAAAGCUCGAGUCUUAAAUUAUCUUAAAUUUAUAUUUAGAGUGGAGCUAUUCGCAAUCCUACAUUAAAAUUACAAAUAAAAAUAAUUGAAAAUUAAACACUUAUAGAUUUUUUUUACAACAAAUUAUUUAAUUCAUAAUCAAUCCUUUAAAAAAAAAAAUCCAUAUGUUACUUGCUAUCUAACUAAAAUAAAUUUUACAAAUUUAGAAUAAUCUAUUGAUUUCUUUUGAUUUCUUAUUAAUUAAAUAUUUUUAUACAUAAAAUUGCUUUGAAAUUAUAAUUUGAAAUAUGUGUUAUUUCAGCCAAUGAUUAACACUAAAAAACUUAUCACCCAUAUAACUUUUUAAUUUGUGUGUAGGGUAAUAAUAAAAUCAAAAAUAAUUAAAAAAAUAGUACAAUAAUGAGUUUUAACAAUAAAACAAAUCAAAUGAAAAUUGAAAAUUUAGAAAAAAUGUAUCUAAAAAAGGGAACGUUUUUUAAAAUAAAAUGAAUAUAACUAAAAAGGGGUUUUAUGAGAAGAGCAGAGGGGUGCCAAUAGUCCAACUUGUAAUUAAGAAUCUCCCAUUAUAUUGUCAACCAAAAAGACACUUGAAUAAGAAGAAGAAUUUAUCAGUUUGAUUUUAUUUAUAGAUCCAACAUUUCUCAUAUCCUAAACGCCUUUCCGUAUCAAAUUAAAACAGUAGUCGCAAAAUCGUAGUAUUAAAAUCGUAGUGCACAUUCAAUUAACCAACUAAUAGUCUUUGGUAUAAGAUUUUAUAUUAGCUAGCCAAGUAGGUUGUCCAUCCCACUCAGACAUGAACGAAAGCUAAAUUCAUCAAAUGGUGUUAUACUAUUAAAUAUUUUUAUAUUUAAAAUUACUUUGAAAUUAUAAUUUCAAAUUAAAAUAGUAGUAGCAAAAUCGUAGUGCACAUUCAAUUAACCAACUAAUAGUCUAAGAAGCAAAGAGAGGAUUACAAGUUCACAACACCAUUACAAAGGAUUCAAAAUUCCCACACGAAAACAUCAAUGUACAGAUUAUAAACAAUCCGAAUUGGACACAAGAAAAAGCCCUUCAAUGGAUUGCUUUCCUUCCCAAUGCUAUAUACUGUGCAAACUCCGCACUGGCCAAGAAAAUGUUUUCAAUUUAGUGUAUUUUCAAAUUGCUUAUUUUCUCAUAAUAUAAAAAAUAAAAAAGAAUCCUUACAUGUUUCAUCAGCAUGAUUAAAAUCAAAGAAGAAAGCGAAGACGUAAUGUCUCUGACAUAAUAAAAUUACAAAAAUUUCAAGGAAAAAAAAAAGGUUAAAACAUGUAAUCUUCAGAAGCAUAUAAUAAAAGAACACUUCCACAAAUUACUACAAUUUCAUGCAGUAGAGAUUGAAGAGUUGAAUUCCACUAAUUUUAAUAAUGAAAACAACAACAGAGGAUUAACUGAUGCUUUGACUUAUUAGCAGGUUGCUUUGACUUAUUAGUUCUGCAGCUAAGUUAAAUAAAAUAAGCUAUUUUCAAAAGCAAAAUGGAAUACAUAGAUAAAAACAUCAUCUUAAACAAAUCACAAUCUAGAAUUAGAGCAUUUUCGACAUACCUAAGGAACACGAAUACGUGAAAACGGGUGAUUUAUUUGUUAAGGAGUGUUGAUUUGGUCGUCUCUGCAAAUUCUUUAGGGACUCGGUUCCAAUUCCUCUUCAUCAAAACUGUAAUAUAAUUCCCCUUCAUCAGAACUCGAAUCGAUGCAAUAUAAUUCCCCUUCAUCAGAACUCGAAUCAAAUUCACUUGCAGCAGUUCCACUCGCGCUUGGCAAAUCAUCCAAUUUCCAAACUUCGGUAACAAAAUUGAGAGUAAAAGUGUUGGCUUUGAUCUCGCUGGGAUUUGCAUAUACUGGACAUACUCCGCAACGUUUUAUCUUCUGACCCUUUUGGACCUUUAUUAUGUUUCGGUGACACUCAUUGAAGAACUUAAAUGUGGCAGUUGAAUGAUGGUCACCAUCAGGAAAGCCAACAUUCAAGCAAGGUUUAAAACCAAGUAUGACAUGAUCUGAAUCAUGGGGGUCUUGAAUU